GACGAACGCUGGCGGCGUGCCUAAUACAUGCAAGUAGAACGCUGAAGGAGGAGCUUGCUUCUCUGGAUGAGUUGCGAACGGGUGAGUAACGCGUAGGUAACCUGCCUGGUAGCGGGGGAUAACUAUUGGAAACGAUAGCUAAUACCGCAUAAGAGUAGAUGUUGCAUGACAUUUGCUUAAAAGGUGCAAUUGCAUCACUACCAGAUGGACCUGCGUUGUAUUAGCUAGUUGGUGAGGUAACGGCUCACCAAGGCGACGAUACAUAGCCGACCUGAGAGGGGGAUCGGCCACACUGGGACUGAGACACGGCCCAGACUCCUACGGGAGGCAGCAGUAGGGAAUCUUCGGCAAUGGACGGAAGUCUGACCGAGCAACGCCGCGUGAGGGAAGAAGGGUUUCGGAUCGUAAAGCUCUGUUGUAAGAGAAGAACGAGUGUGAGAGUGGAAAGUUCACACUGUGACGGUAUCUUACCAGAAAGGGACGGCUAACUACGUG
RNAcentral lists this ribosomal RNA (495 nucleotides) under uncultured bacterium. RNAcentral describes it as "partial 16S ribosomal RNA". It matches the Rfam family "Bacterial small subunit ribosomal RNA", at positions 28 to 507 of the family's 1533-position model. The record is from RNAcentral.